CUAGAAACUAACAGAUACCUCACAGGAGUAAAGGGCUGGCAUCAAGAAGCAGAGCUAAGGAAAGACAUAGAAAUGACUAAUAUACAGAGAAUUCCUAGGAAAGCAGUGAGAGUUUCCAGGAUUUUAUACAAACCCACAAAGCCAGAUGACCCGAAGGCACUGAGAAAUCCAGACUUAUUGGGGGAGAAAAGGUGCUGUUUCAUCAGACUUCUGAAAGGAUCUACAACACUAUGUGGAUUUCCAUGUUUAACACUUAAAAACAAAUUUGUUGAAUAAACAUUGAAUCAAUAAUUCAUCAACUUGAAAAAAGUUUCUCAUGUACUUGAAAUUGAACAUCCCAUGAUGUGCCUGCGUGAUCAACAACUGUUCUGGAUUCAGUCCAUGAAUCCAAAGGUGAGUUCUAUGCUCUGGGUCAUCUUGGAAUGCGUCAUUCUGGGAGUACCAGCACACACAGGAGGAGGACCAACAUUUUAGGAUUGCAGUAAAUCAUGUUGUUUUCUCCAGAAUCUGGAACAACAUGUUGAGACUGAAGAGUCAUGAGAAUUGCCCACAGCUUAUCCCAGUCUCAGGUUUGUUUAGGUUUUGAAUUAAAUCUCUGGAGGUCUACAGUGUUUACUUCACUGACAGGAAAAAAAUCAUAGAUGUCCAAAGUAUUUUUCAAAAACAACAAAAACACACAAAAGAACACGCUGUUAUGUCAAAAAAGGUAGAAAUACACUUGUAUGAAACAUAAGGUCUUUCUAGUUUACAUAUACUACAGAAUCAUCGAUAAAUAAAAUAGAUAAUAAUAUAAUUUCCAUAAUCCUCCUAGUUUCUUUGUGCUUAUAUAGAUAUUUUCUAAAAUUACUAAGCCACGUUAAAAGCUUGAGAGGUAUUGAUUGUACAGUAUAUAAAGAUCUCUUUCAAGAUCUCUUUGAAGAUCUCUUUAGACUGACCAUGUAAAUAACCUGAACCUGAAGAUGCACAAGUCCAUGAGACCCAACAACAUCUACCCAUGUGUUCUGAGGGAACUGGAAGAUGAAAUUACCAAGUUGCUAUCCAUCAUAUUUGAAAGAUCACAGCAGUCCGGUGAAGUUCCCACUGACUGGAAAAGCGGAAACAUAACCCCCAUUUUCAAUAAAGGAAAAAAAGAAGAUCCAGGGAGCUACAGGCCAGUCAGUCUUACCUCUGUGCGUGAAAAGAUCAUGGAGCAGAUUCUCCUGAAGGCCCUACUAAGACAUAUGGAAGAUGAGGUGAUUGGUGUUAACAAGCAUUGCUUCACCAAGGGCAAGUCACACCUGACAAAAUUGGUGACCUUUUAUGGUGGUGUUACAGCAUCAGUGGAUACAGGAAGAGCAACUGUUGUCACUUACCUGGACCUGAGCAAAGCUUUUGACACUGUUCCUCAUGACAUCCUGACGACCAAAUUGGAGAAAAAUGGAUUACAUGGAUGGAGCACUUGCUGGCUAAGGAAUUGACUGGGUGGCUGCACUCAGUUGUGGUCAACAGUUCAAUGCCCAAGUGCAGACCAGUGACAAGUGGCAUUCCUCAGGGACCAGUGCUGGGAAAGGUGCUAUUUAGCAUCUUUGUAGGUGACAUGGACAGUGGGAUUGAGUGUACCCUUAGCAGGUUUGCUGUCAACACCAAGCUGAGUAGUGCAGCUGACAUGCUAGAGGGAAGGGAUGCUAUUCAGAGGAACCUGGACAGGCUUGAGAGGUGGGCCCAUGCCAACCUCAUGAAGGUCAACAAGGCCAAGUGCAAGGUCUUGCACCUGGGUUGGGGCAAUCCCAAGCACAAAUGCAGAUUGGGUGGAGAAGCAGCCCUGAGAAGGAUUUAGGGGUGUCAGCUGAUGAAAGACUCAACAUGAGUUGGUUGCAGCCCAGAAGGCCAGCUGUAUCCUGAGUUGCAUCAAGAGAAAUGUGACUAUCAGGUCGAGGGAGGUCAUUCUGCUCCUCUACAUUUGUGAGAACCCACUUGGAGCAGAGCAUCAAGUUCUGGGCCACCAGCACAAGAAAGACUUAGAGCUGCUGGAGUGGGUACAGAAAAAGGCCAUGAAGGUGAUCAGAGGACUGGAAUACCUCCCCUGUGAAGACAGACUGAGAGAGUUGGGGUUCUUCAGCCUAGAGUAGAGAAGGCUCCAGAGGGACCUUGUAGCGGCCUUCCAGUACCUGAAGGGGGUCUACAGGGAAGCUGGGGAGGAACUUUUUAUAAAGUAAGGUAGAGAAUAAACUGGAAAAGGGUAGGUUUAGACUAGAUAUUAGGAAGAAACUCUUUACUGUGAGGGUGGUGAGGCACUUGAACAUGUUGCCCAGAGAAGUUGUGGAUGUCUCACCCUGGAAGCAUUCAAGGCCAGCCUGGACAGGGCUUUGAGCAACCAGGUCUAGUGGGAGCUGUCCCUGCCUAUAGAAGGGGGGUUGGAACUAGAUGAUCUUAAAGGUCCUUU
Long non-coding RNA from Gallus gallus (chicken), 2422 nucleotides. NCBI's taxonomy places the organism in Eukaryota, Metazoa, Chordata, Aves, Galliformes, Phasianidae. The record is from Ensembl.